UGCAGCCUUGUCAAAUUCAGUGGGAUUCUUUUUCAUGGACCUCACUGGCCAAAAUGGCUGCUACAGUAACUGUAGUUCAUGGGCCCCAUGUCUUUGUUGUGAGAGGUGGGGAUAAAUAUAUACUACAGACAAAC
RNAcentral lists this small nucleolar RNA (134 nucleotides) under Kryptolebias marmoratus (mangrove rivulus). RNAcentral's name for it is "Small nucleolar RNA SNORA5 (ENSKMAG00000021680.1)". It matches the Rfam family "Small nucleolar RNA SNORA5". From Rfam's summary of the family: ACA5 is a member of the H/ACA class of snoRNA that guide the sites of modification of uridines to pseudouridines. The record is from Rfam by way of RNAcentral. Lineage: Eukaryota; Metazoa; Chordata; Actinopteri; Cyprinodontiformes; Rivulidae.